CACGACUCCGCUCCCAGCUUACUGCGUGCUCAACUCAGGCCGCCUCCCCCGAGCGGUGGCGCAGCUGCGCAGCCGAGCAAGGCGCCGCUUUUCUCGGUUACAGUGUCAUCCCCCGCCCGCUCGCAAGGUCAACAAGGCUCUCUCUACAGUUUACGCACAAACACCGACCCUGCGUCCGCCUGCAGACCCCGUAAUGGCGCCCUUAUUCCGGCAGGAGUCAGCACACAGCUUCCGCUGGUAUGGCAGAGCGAAAAAAGCAUUAUUUUCUCUUUCAAACAUUUAAAUGUACCGAAAUAUAGCACUUAUUGCACUUUUUAAACUUAGCAACGGCUUGAUGUCUCAUUCGCAUUUUUGUCAAAAAUUCGCUGUAACUGCUAAAAUUCGUUAAAAUAGCAAUUUGUGUAAAAUGAUGCAAAUACAUUAAAAUUUUAAAUACGGUAUCGUCGCAGCAUUUAAAUUUGCAGUAAUAAAAAUAUAAAACCACAGCCUUUUAAAAUGGAUUGGACAGUGAGCUUAGCUUAAAAGUAAAGACGAGAGCGGGCACUUCUGCCUUCCUUCGCCCCAAAUCCCUCACUGCAGCGCCGCCAUGAAUGUUACAAAGACUCGGGGAGAGACGAUUAGAAAAUCGUCAAAAACGUCGUCAAAACAAAACGAAUCACUCACCUUUCCCGUCAGUAACGAACACGCGAUGUUAUUAAUCAAAGCUAAAGUCGCGUUAGUGGUUUUAUGGAUCUUUAAGUGUCUUUUUUUCGGCAGUAAACCCCGGGGAGUCAGGUCGAAACGGAUCCGACAAAAGGAGCGUCUGGUUCGGUAUGAAACUCCGCCCAGCGCCGCAGGGGGAGGAACUCCGAAGAAAAAGUGGCGAGCGAGAAGGAGACAAAGGCGGGGGCUUAAAGUAACUAACACGCGGCGUUUUUAUUAAAUCAUUUUAAUUAUGGUACUUUAAUUUCGUAUUAUCUUAUUAAAAUAUUAUUGAAAUUGUUGGCACAAUAUUCAAUCCCUUGUUUUAGAACACUGAGGUUUUAUAAAUAGGUUAAAAUUUUUAAAGCGUGUUUUUUUAACAUUGGUAAUUAAUUCAUUUAUAUAAACCAAAUCCAUUUGUUUUGAACAGCUGCGUUGGUGUCCCACGUUGACGCUCUGCACAAGCACCUAAAUAGCGCCCUUUUACUCCAAGCGGGAUCCACCUUUUUCGGGCAGGCCAAUCUGCGCAGCACGACGGUACGGGUGCUUAAACGCACCAGUCGGUGACCAUGUAGUCUUGGUUAUUCGCUCCACUAACAGUGCAUGCAUACCAGUUACGAGAUAGAAACGGUCGGUAGCCUGUUUUACGAAUAUGCUUUGUGUGUCUGAUAAAAUUUAAAAUACAGUUUAGCCUGAAAUAGCCUACUGUCGGAUAGAUGCAUAAUACGCACGACAGCUGUCGGAAUGCGCUAAGAACAACAGUGUCAGUGAAGUAAGUUACACCACAAAGUAGGGUUCCCACGCUACCCGCAGUUUCACAUACAGUAUGCGUUUCCGUUUACAAUAAUUUGUUUUUGGCGCUAUUUGUACACGUAUUGGGCUG
Anguilla rostrata (American eel) is the source of this 1564-nucleotide long non-coding RNA. RefSeq lists it as uncharacterized. The transcript is spliced from 2 exons. The record is from RefSeq and is a predicted model, not a curated record. Lineage: Eukaryota; Metazoa; Chordata; Actinopteri; Anguilliformes; Anguillidae.